This 728-nucleotide long non-coding RNA is filed under the name Triticum aestivum (bread wheat). Its description in RNAcentral is "long non-coding RNA (TAES_LNC005969)". Lineage: Eukaryota; Viridiplantae; Streptophyta; Magnoliopsida; Poales; Poaceae. The record is from RNAcentral.
GUACGGCCCUGACCGUCCCAAGUACCUGGGCCCGUUCUCCGAGCAGACCCCGUCGUACCUGACCGGCGAGUUCCCCGGCGACUACGGGUGGGACACCGCCGGAUUGUCUGCUGACCCCGAGACGUUCGCCAAGAACAGGGAGCUGGAGGUGAUCCACUCGCGGUGGGCGAUGCUCGGCGCCCUCGGGUGCGUGUUCCCGGAGAUCCUGUCCAAGAACGGCAUCAAGUUCGGCGAGGCCGUGUGGUUCAAGGCCGGCGCCCAGAUCUUCUCCGAGGGCGGCCUCGACUACCUGGGCAACCCCAACCUGGUGCACGCGCAGAGCAUCCUCGCCAUCUGGGCGGUGCAGGUGGUGCUCAUGGGCUUCAUCGAGGGCUACCGUGUUGGUGGCGGGCCCCUCGGCGAGGGCCUCGAUAUCAUCUACCCAGGCGGCGCCUUCGACCCACUUGGCCUCGCCGACGACCCUGACACCGCCGCCGAGCUCAAGGUGAAGGAGCUCAAGAACGGCCGCCUCGCCAUGUUCUCCAUGUUCGGCUUCUUCGUGCAGGCCAUCGUCACCGGGAAGGGGCCAGUUGAGAACCUCUUCGACCACGUCGCCGACCCGGUCAACAACAACGCCUGGGCCUUCGCCACCAACUUCGCCCCCGGAAGCUAAAUGUGUUUAGCCGUCCGUCCGUCCGUCCGUCCAUCGGACGAGAUAUGCAUGUGUACUUGUACGUCGUGGAUCAACG